ACUAUGGCAUGGACCCUCAUCCUCGAGCCCCACUACUCAGAGGAGCUGGGAAGAAUUUCCACCCUUCCUAGUGGCAAGUCUCACUGUGAGAGCGGAGUGCCACCAGGCAAACAGGGCAGAAAGACUGCUUUAAGGAGAAUCCUUAUAUUGGGGGUUAUGAAGUGCAAUACACCCUCAUCCUCACGCUAACACUGGUACCAUGUAGCCCAAGCUUGUCUAACCUGCAGCCCGCGGGCUGUGUAUGGCCCAGGACAGCUCUGAAUGUGGCCCAACGCAAAUUUGUAAACUUUCUAAAACAUUAUGAGAUUUUUUUUUCUCAUCAGCUAUCAUCAGUGUGAGUGUAUGUUAUUUGUGACUCAAGACAAUCCUUCUUUUCCAAUGUGGCCCAGAGAAGCCAAAAGACUGGACACCCCUGAUGUGGCCCUUUCAUCCAUAGUAGCCUAUUUUGUCCUAAAGACGGUCUUGUGCAGUGAGUAGGCCAGGCCUCCCCACUACCACAGUUUACAGGCAAGGAAUGUGAUAUUUCAUAGGAUGACCCUGACUGGCACCUACAUUGCUAGCCAAAGAAUGGCACAAAGAUGUGGACAGAAGAGACAACCUUAAGCAGCUGACUGCUGGCUCCUGCAACAGUAUCAUCAUGGCAUUUGUCCUGGGGUCCCAAGGAAAGAAAACAAAUCUGUGGCUGAGGAACAGACUGAGUUGACAAAGCAGCUUCCACAGUAACACAAGGACAAAGGGUGUAUGUAGAUAUGCACGUGGUAGCAGGUUCUACUAAAGGAACCUGGACCGACCAUUCUCACUCACAUUCUUUGGGAGCUGUAUUCUAAUACUUUCAGAAAAGCCAUGGGAACACACCAGAGUGACUGCUCGAGUAAAUAAGUAGCAUAAACAGCAAGCCAAACCAUUGAUGUACACAUCACUGGGCCCAAUACUAUGAAAUCCCACAUAAGAAACUUGAAAGUGAAAGCUGGAAUUCUGAGGAUACUGGUUUUGCUUAAUAAACAGCAUUUCAACAGUUAUUGUCAUGAUAUUGCUACUGAUGCUGAACAAAGACCCAAGAACCAGGGUGAUGUUUAGCAUGGGCUGGCCUCAGCAGGACUGAAAGGACAUCAAUAAGGGAGAACAGAGAGAAGGAAGGAGGACAAGUGCCAACUUUGAGCAGCACUCAGCAACGGAUGUUCAAUGGGGUUCACACCAUGGUUGCAGUUUGGGGGAAAGAACCCUUGGAGAGAAAGCAAGAACCACAAGAAUCACUGAAUCAUGGGUUAGAGGAGCCCUCCAAAAUCACCUCCUUCAAUCCUCUUCCUAAUUUCUGUGUGAGCACUGGCCAUUUAAUUUAUGUUUCUGGGCCUCAGUUCCCCUGUCCGUUAAAUAAACAGGUUGAAUUAAAUACAA
This 1395-nucleotide long non-coding RNA is filed under the name Homo sapiens (human). RNAcentral's name for it is "long independently transcribed non-coding RNA 1890, transcript variant 3 (LINC01890)". The record is from RNAcentral. Lineage: Eukaryota; Metazoa; Chordata; Mammalia; Primates; Hominidae.